UGGGGAAUAUUGCACAAUGGGCGCAAGCCUGAUGCAGCCAUGCCGCGUGUAUGAAGAAGGCCUUCGGGUUGUAAAGUACUUUCAGCGGGGAGGAAGGGAGUAAAGUUAAUACCUUUGCUCAUUGACGUUACCCGCAGAAGAAGCACCGGCUAACUCCGUGCCAGCAGCCGCGGUAAUACGGAGGGUGCAAGCGUUAAUCGGAAUUACUGGGCGUAAAGCGCACGCAGGCGGUUUGUUAAGUCAGAUGUGAAAUCCUCGGGCUCAACCUGGGAACUGCAUCUGAUACUGGCAAGCUUGAGUCUCGUAGAGGGGGGUAGAAUUCCAGGUGUAGCGGUGAAAUGCGUAGAGAUCUGGAGGAAUACCGGUGGCGAAGGCGGCCCCCUGGACGAAGACUGACGCUCAGGUGCGAAAGCGUGGGGAGCAAACAGGA
RNAcentral lists this ribosomal RNA (430 nucleotides) under Chloroflexota bacterium. RNAcentral's name for it is "Chloroflexi bacterium partial 16S ribosomal RNA". It matches the Rfam family "Bacterial small subunit ribosomal RNA", at positions 355 to 777 of the family's 1533-position model. Lineage: Bacteria; Bacillati; Chloroflexota. The record is from RNAcentral.